This is a non-coding RNA of Ictidomys tridecemlineatus (thirteen-lined ground squirrel), 225 nucleotides long. Lineage: Eukaryota; Metazoa; Chordata; Mammalia; Rodentia; Sciuridae. The record is from RefSeq and is a predicted model, not a curated record.
CAGAGUGUCUGUGAGAAACCUCCAGAGGCUUGUACUUCUAGCAUAUGUGUUGUGUCCUCUUCACAAUCAAAGAAUAGAAUCAAUGAACAUAGAGAAGAUGCAGGAUCUGUAUCUCUGUACAAGGGUGAAAAGGAAAUCAUGAUAUUGACUAAAACAAAGGAAGCAGGAUUAGGAGAUGUGCCAUGCUCCCAGAUGGGCUCUAAGGACGUACAUGCUUCCUACAAG